CCUCCUCUCUUGUUUCUCACUCUCCCUUUCCUCUCUCGUUUCCCACUUUCCCACUUUCCCUCUCACUCUCUGACUCCCCCUCUACCUUAAUCGAGAUCCCCUUAGACACGUCUGCCACCACUAGGAAGCCUUCCACAUCGUGGCCGAGGAGGUUGACAUUAUUUUCAUAGAGGGUGAUGUGGUCGCCGCAAGCAAGGACGCAACCUAGGGUUUCAGUGGCGGAGAAGCAUAGGGACACUGCUUUCGUCCUCCGCUCCCUGCUCUACGUCACUAUGGCGACCCUCAUUUCCAGGGUUUCGGGGCCACUCUCCAAUGGGUUUCUAAGGUUGGCCUUGAUGGACGUGAUUGUGAAUCCCGUGGUGAGAUUCAAUUACUUCAACAACCUCGUUGACAUGGAGCGAUGCAUGAAUGGGACGAGGAAGAUAGUGGAGAUCUUGGGGAGCAGGGCUUUGAGGGAUUUCAAGUUUAGCAACUGGUUCGGGGAGCGAGACUUUAGGUUCAUUGGCCUUGCUUUGCCACUUCACCAGACCGACUUCCCUAGUAUGUCGUAUUUCUAUUGCUGGACAGUGAGCUCCAUAUGGCACUACCAUGGAGGCUGCCACUAUGAUGAGCAUUUUUACUUCAGGGUCGAGGAUGGAGAGGACGACAGUAGCGAUGCCAGGGUCAGAACAAUUUGAUUACCACAAUCCCUUUUCUUUAUCGAGUGCUUUCUUGACUUGUCAGAGAGGUCACCAAGAAUAACACAAGGAACAUGCAGCCACCAUUUGUUAUCUUUCCAUGGAAAAAAAUUUCGGAAUGAGGCCCUACGUAAUCUACUCGAAUUCCCUGGUAUUUUUGUGCUUAUGAUUGUCAUUCCAUCUGUUGCAACCGAAAGGGCUAGUGCCAAGUUUGUUUCCACCCUUUUUCAAUACAGAAAAUGGUGAAGGAAUCAACAACAAGCCCUGCAUAUUUCUCUUGAGACUUCUAAUGAGUCAGUAUACCCUAACUGGAAUUGAUGCAUCAGCUCAUAUGACAGAGGAAACCAAGGAUGUUGUAAUAGUUUUAUGGUGUUCUACUAAGCUUUGAGUCACUAAGCCUAGCUUAAAUUUUAGUUCAAUUUGGUUGGACGACUUCUUGGCCCUAGGGGUAAUUCACUAAAGUGAGUGGAGGCUACCACAGGUUGUCGUGUAUUUAUCAGAGGAAAAGGUUCAAUAAAAGAACUAGAUAAGGAAGAGUUGUUAUGAGGAAGGCCAGCUUACGAACACUUAAAUGAAUCACUACACAUUUUGGUUGAGGCUGAGUUACCUGUCAAUGUUGUUGAUAUAAGGUCGAGGCAAGCACAGGAAAUCAUAGAAGAACUACUCAAACCCAUGGCCUCUGCCGUCUCCGUCGUGCCAGAGAGAGAGGUGGUGAUGUCUUCAAUUAGAUUCCUAUGGAUCCUGAUGGUGUCUUUGACGGAAUCAUGCACGUUAAGCCAACCGCAGAAGUUAUCAAUGUACGAUGUUCUGAUGGAGUACGGGUUCCCGGUGGGUCUUCUUCCCAAGGGAGCCAUAGGGUAUUCACUUAACAAAGUCAGCGGUGAGUUCGCAGUGUAUUUCCAAGGAGUGUGCAGCUUCGACAUAGAGUCCUACAUGUUCAAGUACAAAUCCACCAUCACGGGUGUCGUCUCCAAGGGCAAGCUCUAUAAUCUCAAAGGUGUCACCGUCAAAAUCUUGCUCCUUUGGCUCAACAUCGUCGAGGUCUUUCGUCAGGGGAAUGAUAUUUACUUCUCUGUCGGAAUCUCUUCCGCUGAUUUUGGCAUUGAGAAUUUCCUCGAGAGCCCCUAGUGUGGUUGUGGUUUCAAUUGCAAAACACUACCCUUAAACCGUGACGUUUCCGUUUCCUCAAUUUAAUUACACUUUUUUUAUGAUUCAAUUGCCGAACGGAUUAUUGGGUUCAGUUGCAAACUAUAGAUCUAUCUAGUGUAUCUAUCAUCUUCUUCUUCUUUUUUUAUGCUUUUUAAGUUAAUAAUUAGUCCUACUUUUUAUUAUCGGGGCAUUGUUUAUGUGUAUAAAGAUUGUGUUUUGAUCUUCACCCUUUUUGUUGCCAGAUGACUACAACAAUUGCUAUUAAAGAUGUGAGAAGGGAGGUGAAAAUACUUCGAGCUUUGAAUGGACACAACAAUCUGAUCCAGUUCUAUGAUGCAUUUGAAGAUCAAGACAAUGUCUACAUUAUAAUGGAGUUAUGUGAAGGGGGAGAGCUCUUAGAUAUGAUAUUAUCAAGAGGAGGGAAAUACUUAGAAGAUGAUGCAAAGGCUGUCAUGGUACAGAUACUUAAUGUUGCUGCAUUUUGUCAUCUUCAGGGUGUGGUACACCGAGAUCUUAAGCCAGAGUUUGCUGAUAUAGUUACCAGAUACCACAGGGAUAAACAAAUCAUACUUGUGGCGGUGCUGAUAUUUGGUUUGGUUUGGUGAUCAAACAAUAGUGAUAUCUUUUGCUCUCCAGGAUCCUACUGCCCGACUACAACACGCAAAGUUUCUUGUGACAGUAGAAGGGUUGAAUGAUGAUUUGAAGAGGACUUGAUAGAGGUGGUGGAUCUAAUGGGGCACAACAAAACUUUCAAGAAUUGGUCGGCACUACUAGGGUCCACGAGCCCAUCGUAGCCACCAAGGGUAAAUUAUACGCUAAUCAUUAAAUGUGUUAGACUUUAUACAUUACUGGCACCAAUGGUUCUGUAUCAGGGCAGAGUAACCCUGGAUACCCUAUCACCACAGGUUAUGAAGGAGUAUCUUGACCAUUAGAUGAUAUGACAUUCAGUCGAGACAAGGCAGCUUUAGCUGUGGCUCAAAAGGUUUUCAGGGGUUUGUAUGAUAAUGCAUCAAACAACAUUCAUGUAACUGCUCAUCUUGCUAUCCUGAAGAACACUUGGGUUAUCACAUAGGAAUUCAAGCUGGGUCAAGUCCGUAGCCAGAUUCAGGUUUGGAACUUAUCCAAAUUCAAUUAGUUAUAGUUUUUAUCUUUCUUUAUAUUAAUCCAUAAAAAGUGUUUUAAUUAUCUGCUUUUGCUUCUUUGGUCCGUCACACGUGCUUGCUUCUUUGGUCUUUUUGGUGAGUGAAAAAAACCAGAGUGAGAGAUCUUUUGUAGAUGCAACCAUAGAAUAAAUAAACUAAACUUUUAACAAGAUUCAACUUAAAGAAAAAAAAACAACUUUAAUUUCUAAGACGAUUCUAUAGAUAAUUACCUUAGAAAGUACUAUAUAUUCUAAGACGGUCGUAGCACAACCGUUUUAGAAUGUAGUGCAUUCUAAGUCGGUCUUGUGCUACGACCAUCUUAGAAUGUAGUACAAUCUUAGUUGGUCUUUGAGUCUGGACCAUCUAAGAAUGUAUAGUACAUUCUAAGAUGGUCGUGCUUAACCGUCGUCGUAGACCCAUUAGUUUUCUAGGACAAGUGCUACAACGACAUUACGUAAUCGACAUAGUAUGUUUAAAAUAACCGAUAUAAAUUGUGUUUUUUUAGUAGUGUCAAGAGAUGCAGUGGGGUCUUCCACUUACCCGUUCUUUGAUUUCAACAGUAAUAUGCAUGACAAAUAUUUUCACUUUGUACAAUUAAAAAAAUCGAAAUACAAUAUUUCCAUUUUCCUUAAUUUUUUGAAAAAAAACAUGGAUUUUUGUGCAAUAGUGGAAGCUAGCUCUUUUAUGAAAACAAAAGAUUAAGCCAAUUUCUUUUGUACUCUUGUAAAUACACGAGGAACUGCGGGAGUAUGGAGAAUUUUGGCGCUGAAUGAGGCUGGUGGAUGGAGUAUGGAGAAUUUUGGCGUUGAAUGAGGCUGGUGGAUGGAAGGAUAGGACCACACUGGAAGAUAUGAACUUGGUGGUGCGAGCCAGUUUCAAAGGAUGAAAAUUCUUAUUCUUGUCUGACUUGAAGGAAGAGGUUGUUUUAAAGAGGUGUUGCUAGCUCGGUAUUGGGGGUUUAUGCCUUCGGCAUGGUAAAGUCAUCUUAAUUUCUUGUUCAAAUGUAACAUUAACUGUAUCAUUUGCUUUUGUUUAAAGAUAUAAUGGAUCUACUAAAUUUACUUUCAAGAAGGGUAAAAUCAAUAAUUUUAGACAACUCAA
Molecule: RNA transcript, 4069 nt
Organism: Glycine soja
Lineage: Eukaryota; Viridiplantae; Streptophyta; Magnoliopsida; Fabales; Fabaceae
Exons: 13
Source: RefSeq, a predicted model, not a curated record